UCAGAACGAACGCUGGCGGCACGCCUAACACAUGCAAGUCGAACGAGAUCUUCGGAUCUAGUGGCGGACGGGUUAGUAACGCGUGGGAACGUACCCUUCACUACGGAAUAGUCCCGGGAAACUGGGUUUAAUACCGUAUACGCCCUUCGGGGGAAAGAAUUUCGGUGAGGGAUCGGCCCGCGUUAGAUUAGUUAGUUGGUGGGGUAAUGGCCUACCAAGACUACGAUCUAUAGCUGGUUUGAGAGGAUGAUCAGCAACACUGGGACUGAGACACGGCCCAGACUCCUACGGGAGGCAGCAGUGGGGAAUCUUAGACAAUGGGGGCAACCCUGAUCUAGCGAUGCCGCGUGAGUGAUGAAGGCCUUAGGGUCGUAAAGCUCUUUCGCCUGUGAUGAUAAUGACAGUAGCAGGUAAAGAAACCCCGGCUAACUCCGUGCCAGCAGCCGCGGUAAUACGGAGGGGGUUAGCGUUGUUCGGAAUUACUGGGCGUAAAGCGCACGUAGGCGGAUUAGUCAGUCAGAGGUGAAAUCCCAGGGCUCAACCCUGGAACUGCCUUUGAUACUGCUAGUCUUGAGUUCGAGAGAGGUAAGUGGAAUUCCGAGUGUAGAGGUGAAAUUCGUAGAUAUUCGGAGGAACACCAGUGGCGAAGGCGGCUUACUGGCUCGAUACUGACGCUGAGGUGCGAAAGUGUGGGGAGCAAACAGGAUUAGAUACCCUGGUAGUCCACACCGUAAACGAUGAAUGCCAGUCGUCGGGUAGCAUGCUAUUCGGUGACACACCUAACGGAUUAAGCAUCCG
RNAcentral lists this ribosomal RNA (798 nucleotides) under uncultured Celeribacter sp. RNAcentral describes it as "bacterial SSU rRNA". It matches the Rfam family "Bacterial small subunit ribosomal RNA", at positions 24 to 871 of the family's 1533-position model. Lineage: Bacteria; Pseudomonadati; Pseudomonadota; Alphaproteobacteria; Rhodobacterales; Roseobacteraceae. The record is from RNAcentral.